GCUCGAGUGGCGAACGGGUGAGUAACACGUGAGUAACCUGCCCUUGACUUUGGGAUAACUUCAGGAAACUGGGGCUAAUACCGGAUAGGAGCUCCUGCUGCAUGGUGGGGGUUGGAAAGUUUCGGCGGUUGGGGAUGGACUCGCGGCUUAUCAGCUUGUUGGUGGGGUAGUGGCAUACCAAGGCUUUGACGGGUAGCCGGCCUGAGAGGGUGACCGGCCACAUUGGGACUGAGAUACGGCCCAG
Molecule: ribosomal RNA, 244 nt
Filed under: uncultured Actinomycetales bacterium
Lineage: Bacteria; Bacillati; Actinomycetota; Actinomycetes; Actinomycetales
Description: partial 16S ribosomal RNA
Rfam family: Bacterial small subunit ribosomal RNA
Source: RNAcentral